Molecule: ribosomal RNA, 394 nt
Filed under: Enterobacter sp. LGI4RAG
Lineage: Bacteria; Pseudomonadati; Pseudomonadota; Gammaproteobacteria; Enterobacterales; Enterobacteriaceae
Description: bacterial SSU rRNA
Rfam family: Bacterial small subunit ribosomal RNA
Source: RNAcentral
CAGAGACUUAGCAUGACAUGCUUGUNCAGCCUUCGGGAACUCUGAGACCGGUGNCUGUUAGGCUGUCGUCGAGCUCGUGUUGUGAAAUGUUGGGUUAAGUCCCCCCAACGAGANUNNACCUUUAUCGUUUGUUGCCAGCGGUCCGGCCGGGAACUCGAAAGUGAGACUGCCAGUGAUAAACUGGAGGAAGGUGGGGAUGACGUCAAGUCAUCAUGGCCCUUACGAGUAGGGCUACACACGUGCUACAAUGGCGCAUACAGAGAGAGAAGCGACCUCGCGGAGAGCAAGCGGACCUCUCUAAAGUGCGUCGUAUCCGGAUUGGAGUCUGCAAAUCGAGUCCAUAGAAGUCGGAAUCGCUAGUAAUCGUAGAUCAGAAUGCNAACGGGGAAUACGU